RNAcentral lists this transfer RNA (73 nucleotides) under Stegodyphus mimosarum. It matches the Rfam family "tRNA". From Rfam's summary of the family: Transfer RNA (tRNA) molecules are approximately 80 nucleotides in length. Lineage: Eukaryota; Metazoa; Arthropoda; Arachnida; Araneae; Eresidae. The record is from Rfam by way of RNAcentral.
GCCUUCGUGGUGUAGUGGUCAGCACACUCGACACGUACCCGAGAGAUCCGUGGUUCGAUUCCCGGCAAGGGCG